GUGCGCCAGAAGAAGCUCCUUGAACCUCGUCCAAGUAAUCGCUGCCAAGUCGGUGUUGGGAUUGUCCUGGAUGUCCAACCACCAACGAUAGGCCUCGCUGUUCAGAAAGUGAGUGGCGAGCCAAACUCUGUCCAUCUCCUCGACGAAGGUAUCUCGAAACAGCUUCUCCAUGUGCAUCAACCACUUCUCAACAAUCCAGUGGUCGACGUUCUCGCCAUCGAACGUCCUCGGGCUGCACCUCCUGAACUCGCUGAGGCGAUCCAUAAGCCGAUCCCGCUCGGCUCCCUCGGCCAUCACGGGGAAUGCCGCCCCUAUCGUCGGUCUCUGAACAGGUAGUGCCGCAACUACCUACUCCCGAGGUGCGGUCGCCGGUGCCGCACGUGAAGAGCUGGGCGCGGGGGACUGCGCCCUCGGUGCGACGUCCACCACGGGUGCUGGCGGCGUGGGGCCCUGGGUCUCCCUCGAAGCUGCCGCCUGCUGAAGUAGGAGGUCCUCCAGAUGCUUCAUCCGCGCCUCCUGCCGCUAAGCCACCUCAGCCUGUCGCUGCGCCGCUGCCGUCUGUUGCGCCAACAGAUCAGUGAGAACCGCAAGCUGGGCUCUCAAGUCACGGACCUCACUAGAUCCGAAAGUAGCGGAGGUCUCGACCUCCUCGGGGUGUGCCGCAUCAUCCGCCCCGGCGGACUGGGAGCGUGUAAUCGGCAUCGUCACUACAAC
Molecule: long non-coding RNA, 714 nt
Filed under: Ananas comosus (pineapple)
Lineage: Eukaryota; Viridiplantae; Streptophyta; Magnoliopsida; Poales; Bromeliaceae
Description: long non-coding RNA (ACOM_LNC037653)
Source: RNAcentral